Molecule: ribosomal RNA, 459 nt
Filed under: uncultured soil bacterium
Lineage: Bacteria
Description: bacterial SSU rRNA
Rfam family: Bacterial small subunit ribosomal RNA
Source: RNAcentral
AGGAUGAACGCUGGCGGCGUGCUUAACACAUGCAAGUCGAACGUGAGGAUGCAGCAAUGUAUCUGAAAGUGGCGGACGGGUGAGUAACACGUGGGUGACCUGCCUCGUAGUGGGGGAUAACCAUGGGAAACUGUGGCUAAUACCGCAUGGACCGGUUGGGAAGGGAUUUCAACGGGUAAAGCUUGAUGUGCUACGAGAGGGGCCUGCGGUCGAUUAGGUUGUUGGUGGGGUAAUGGCCUACCAAGCCGAUGAUCGAUAGCUGGUCUGAGAGGACGAUCAGCCACACGGGAACUGAGAGACGGUCCCGACUCCGUACGGGGGCAGCAGUGAGGAAUAUGGCAAUGGGCGCAAGCCUGACCCAGCAACGCCGCGUGAAGGAUGAAGGCCCGUUGGUUGUUAAACUUCGUUUGUGGGAAGAGGAACGGACGGUACCCCAAGAAUAAGCACGGCUAACUACGU